AAGUCGUAACAAGGUUUCCGUAGGUGAACCUGCGGAAGGAUCAUUAUUGAGAGAGGGGCUUCGCGCUCCCGGGGGCUCCGGCCCACCACUCUUCAACCCAUCUGGUUAACCUACCUUUGUUGCUUUGGCGGGCCUUGAGUUCAUGCUCAUGCCAGCCCGGCCGCACCCGGGCCGGGUGUGCCCAGUCAGAGGUCCUUUUAAAUUCUGUCUAUUGGUGUCGUCCGAGCUUAUAUUCAAAUCAUCAAAA
Molecule: unclassified non-coding RNA, 247 nt
Filed under: plant metagenome
Description: partial contains small subunit ribosomal RNA and internal transcribed spacer 1
Rfam family: Eukaryotic small subunit ribosomal RNA (bases 1-46)
Source: RNAcentral